Molecule: non-coding RNA, 69 nt
Organism: Lysobacter capsici AZ78
Lineage: Bacteria; Pseudomonadati; Pseudomonadota; Gammaproteobacteria; Lysobacterales; Lysobacteraceae
Source: Rfam
GGUAAGGUAGCUCAGCAGGUAGAGCGGCGACGCGUGCGCAGGUCGUCGGUUCGAAUCCGACCCUUACGA